UACGAAGGGUGCUAGCGUUGUUCGGAAUUACUGGGCGUAAAGCGCACGUAGGCGGCUCGAUCAGUCAGGGGUGAAAUCCCAGGGCUCAACCCUGGAACUGCCUUUGAUACUGUCGAUCUGGAGUAUGGAAGAGGUGAGUGGAAUUCCGAGUGUAGAGGUGAAAUUCGUAGAUAUUCGGAGGAACACCAGUGGCGAAGGCGGCUCACUGGUCCAUUACUGACGCUGAGGUGCGAAAGCGUGGGGAGCAAACAGG
This 253-nucleotide ribosomal RNA is filed under the name uncultured bacterium. Its description in RNAcentral is "partial 16S ribosomal RNA". It matches the Rfam family "Bacterial small subunit ribosomal RNA", at positions 524 to 776 of the family's 1533-position model. The record is from RNAcentral.